Molecule: ribosomal RNA, 253 nt
Filed under: uncultured bacterium
Lineage: Bacteria
Description: partial 16S ribosomal RNA
Rfam family: Bacterial small subunit ribosomal RNA
Source: RNAcentral
UACGGAGGGUGCAAACGUUGCUCGGAAUCAUUGGGCGUAAAGCGCACGUAGGCGGUUUGUUAAGUCGGGUGUGAAAGCCCAGGGCUCAACCCUGGAAGUGCACUCGAAACUGGCAGGCUUGAAUAUGGAAGAGGGUCGCGGAAUUCCCGGUGUAGAGGUGAAAUGCGCAGAUAUCGGGAGGAACACCAAUGGCGAAGGCAGCUCGCUGGGACGGUACUGACGCUGAGGUGCGAAAGCGUGGGGAGCAAACAGG